GGCUGCGUGUGUGUGUGUGACACUGCGUGUGCAACAGGUGUGCGUGUCACAGGUGUGCGUGUGACAUGUGCGUGUGCAAGGCUGUAUGGCCAUGUGACACUGCGUGUGCAACGUGUGUGUGUGUGACAUAUGCGUGCCACGCUUGUGCGUGUGCAAGGCUGCGUUGUGCACAGGUGUGACCCCCCCCCACACGUGGCACACGUGUCACACGCGUGUCCCCAGGGCGCCAUGGGGCAGUGUGGGGCAGCGUGGAGUGACUAUGGGGCAGCUGUGGGGCAGUGUGGGUCUCUAUGGGGCAGUGUGGGGCAAUGUGGGUUUCUAUGGGGCAGUGUGGGGCCGCUGUGGGGCAGCUAUGGGGCAGUGUGGAGUGACUGUGGGUCAGUGUGGGGCAGCUGUGGGGCAGUGUGGGUCUCUAUGGGGCAGUGUGGGGCAGCUAUGGGGCAAUGUGGGUCAGUGUGGGACAGCUAUGGGGCAGUAUGGGGCAGCUGUGGGUCAGUGUGGGGCAGCUAUGGGGCAAUGUGGGUCUCUAUGGCUCUCUGUGGGAUGACGUGGGGCAGUGUG
RNAcentral lists this long non-coding RNA (561 nucleotides) under Numida meleagris (helmeted guineafowl). Its description in RNAcentral is "lncRNA (ENSNMEG00000000802.1)". The record is from RNAcentral. Lineage: Eukaryota; Metazoa; Chordata; Aves; Galliformes; Numididae.